UUUAUUGAAGUAUUUUCUAAACCUCUAUUGUGCUAAUGGACAUGUCUAUUCUCUGAAAGGAUGGUGCACGGUGCUUUCCAAACGAAGCUGGACAUGCCAUGCUUUUGUUUUUUCUGGAGUGGAUCUCUGUUUUAGUGUUUUCCAGAACACAUUUCAGGAGACAAAAAAAGAAUGUCUCUGUGUUCUCAAUGCUGUUACAUCAUUGUACUCAUUUCUAAUAGUCUAAUAAUUCCAGGAGGCAUUUCACAAACAAAAUUACUUCCUUGUGGGGACUCUUCACAUACGACUGCAGGAGCACAGAGUGCAUGGUAAGCCCAGGGUAUCUUAACAACACUCACAGUAGCAAUUAACUCUAGUCUUCAUUAUGUGAUUCUAACUUCUGCAGUUUUAAUAUUUGUGUAGAUGUUUCCCUCUUCUCCACAUCUACCUUUAUUCAUUAAAUGCUCUAUGAAUAGAAAGACUGCAUGAUGCUGCACUGGCCAUUAGAGUUGCAUCCAUAAGCCCUCAUUGCAUACUCUUAAAUUUUCAGUUAAAUCUUGAAAUGAAAAUGUACAAGCCAUCCCUGCAGUUAAUCUAAGUAUCUCACUGAUAUGUAAAAGUAAAAAUUAAAAUUUUUAACUUUUAGAUGUUAAAGACAUUUUGAAACUGAAAGACACAUUUAACUGAAUAUUCUAUUUUUCAUGAAAAUGGUUCUUAAUCUCUAACCUGAAAUUAGGCCAGUAAGGGUCUAUUCAAGAAGUUAAUUUGGAUCAAAUGAUCCCAAAUUCAGACUGGAAUAAUUAGCACUCCAUAAUAAUCUUUUCUUCCUUGUUUCUGAAAUCUCCAGAUGUUUUAUUUACGACUUGAACUAUACUGUCCUCCUAAAUUCUGCUCAAAAUAUAUUUGUAAAUAAAACCUUCACGAGUAAGGCUUUUGUUCUUGCCAUCACCUGGAAACUCACGGAGCAUUUGUGGAGAAAUUCCAUUUGAUGAGAAGAGGACUUCAUAGACUUAAAGUAGUACCUAUGAUCGCUUUCCAGGGUGUUUUUGCAGGCCAGUUCUCUCUUCUGGUAUAUUUCUUUUCUUUUCACUUUCAUAAAAUUUUGAAUAUGUUUUUAAAACUUUUAACAAAAUGUUGGCACUUUACCUUUUUUUUUGUUCUUCCAUUUAGGAUCCAUUAUUUGGAAGUGAGAAAGACUUUGGCCAGAGGGGCUGACUCUGGUAAACUGAUAUUUUUUUCCCUUGUAAAUGCCUCAAAAGAAACAGUGAGGCAGGAUGCACUUUGCCAACCCUUGGGGCAGGGAUCCUGCUUUAGUGAACUGCUAUCUCAUUUUAGUGUUUCUUUUAAGUUCCUGAGGGAAGGACACUAAAGAAGAGGUUACCCAUCUAAACACAUGCAACAGAAAUUCAGAACACAGAUUCUUGUUUUAAAAUCCUAAGAUUUCCAAUUAGAAUUCUAGUUUCAAAGAGGUUACUUUCAAUUUCUCUCUCAUUAAUCUAAUGGAGUCUAAAAUGUCACAGACUAAAAAUGACAUUCUUAACUAAAUUAGCAUAAUUUGACUAUUUGGAUAUUUGUUAAUUGGAAAGGUAAAAUUUCUAUGCAAAUAGGCCAUAAUUUUGAUUACACAUACAAUUUAUAUAGCUUACAACCACUGGUGAUGAUGGAACUGUGGAUUUCUUUAUAAAUGUAUUUUGUCACAUUUAUUAAUCUGAAUCAUAAGAUCUAAGUGACAAAGACAUCAUUAAAUUGUCCUUGAAUAUCUGUAGUAAUCAUCUGGUCACUGGACAUUCAGGAGUUGAUAUAAACACAUGUUGAAGAACAUGGAUAGAAAUAGGAGGCUAGGGAGGGGAUAGUAAAUACAUAACUCUAGCUACUCCUUUCCUAGAUUCAUACUCUAUUUGAAGGAGAGGUGGAGAACCAAACUCAUGAGUGAAUUUUUCUAAUGCAAACUCAUUUUGAAAAAGGCACAAAGGUCUAGAUAUAGAAAUAGGUGAGGGACCGGAAUCCUUUCCCUUCUUAGAAUCAGGACAUUGACUGAGAACAGAAGAUGGAUAGCUUCCUAAGAGCAAUAGGAUGCUGUUAACAGAAGAAGAUGGAAUACAUACUGAAUGAGAAAUAAAUAAGUAAAUAAACAAAUAGACCACUACACUGGAAAAAAAAAUUUUGAUCCAAUCACAGGUCCAUCAGGGGUAGAGGGUAAAAACACAGAGAUUCAUUCCUUAAACUACGGGGUUUCAGUAUAUGAUAUUCUCUCUAGUCUCUUCUAUUUCUAACAUUUUGUUUCUAUAUUAAAAGCUUCAAAUAAAUGUGCUGCACAGGCCCAGAAAAGUCAAGAGUUAGGAGGAAUUACAACUGUGUGAGAAUGGGCACAUAAAUACUCUUCUAUUUAUUUCUACUCUUCUGGAAGUUGCCCUUUUGAAUUUUUUGCAUAAGGAAAAGGUCCUCUAGAAAACCUGAAUAAUACUGAGGUUAUUUUAUUGCUUAACAUGAUUCAAUUGAGCUUCUCUUAUGUGACUAUAGCCUGCUAAACACCAGAGUUACAAAAAGGAUAAAAAUGUCCCAUUCUUUCAGGAAUAUUCAGAUAUUGGAAGAGACAGAUAAUCAUAAGGUUUCAAUAUGAAAAGUGUUAUAACAGACAUGAUCACGAUAUUAUGUCAUCAAAAAUAAGAGGUACCUUUCUCAUCUAAAGAGCUCAUGAAGAACCUCCUGAAUUAAUGGUGGAUGAGCUAAAUUCUUGAAUAGGCUUAACCAGAUGAAAAGAAAGGAAGUGGAGACAUUUAAUAAUGGCUUUUCUUCAACUACCAAGACUAAAACUUAGUUUUCAAAUAUUUCUCCUCUAAGGUGGCCUACAAGUCCAACUAUACAUAAAUCAAGAGAAUCUCCUUUAAUGUCCAAUUCAAAACAACAGCACAUGUAACAGUGGCACAUAAGCAGCACACUGAAAUAAAACGUCUUCUGGCUUUCUGCCAAUUCUAUAAUACAUUUUCAUCUUAUUUAAGAUCAUAUUGUAAUCCUUAUAAAAAUUUGCUUUUAAUGUUACUACAAAAUGAUAGAAGCCUGAAAGACUUCUUUAAAAACAAAUGUAGGCAAUUCAUAAGAUACAAAAUAAUCAGAGUUAAGAUAGUCAUAAUCCAAUUGUGUUCAGAAUUAAUAAUAUCCAAGGUGGAGCCAUUUCCUGCAUUUUUGUCUGAGUUCAUGAUGUUGCAAGAUCACCUAUUAACUUUAUAAUUUACACUAAGGAGACAGAAUAACUAAGAAAGUUUUGGAAUUAAUACUGGGAAAUAAAUAGUAGCCAUGCUUCAUAAAGGACUGAAUUUAAGCCUUAAGUAUGCCUUACAACCAAUGUCUCAUGUUAUCAAAGAAACUACAAAUGAUAAUUGUCAAAAUACUGGCAAAGUCCAAAAAUACUGAUACAAUAUCCAGCAGCUGGAUAAUUCUGGGAAUUCCCUACAUAUAACAUUUAUUUGACUGUAGAAGAUAGUCCCAUAACAACAAUGACAACACUUUAAGCCACAACAGCAGUUUAUACUGUGUGAACUGUACACAGUGUGGAAGUGUAUGGAAGGAUACUGCCAUAUGGCAAAAGAAAUCCAAGGAGAUUGGGAAGAUGAUGGAGUAAGAGGACCCUAAACUCACCUUAUCCCAUGGAUACAACUAGAUAAACUCAUAUCAGUGUAAAUAACCCAGAAAACCAACUCAAGACUGUGACAGAACAAAUUCCUCAACUAAAGGUAGAGAUGAGGCCAUAGUAAAAAGAUAGGAAGGGUGGGGAUGCUGGGGGAGCAAAAUGGACCCUAGCAGUCCACAGAAGAAAGGGAGCCACUGGCAUGGAGAAGGGCAAGAAACAGACUAUCAUCCCAGGGAGCCCAUAACAUUGGGCUUUGAAAGCAAGACUGAAUUUUGUGAGUUCUUAUAACCAGUGGGAUAUAAAGCCUGGAACUUUAAAAAUCAUGGGGUUCAGCUUUGGGAGAGUCCUGAGGGCAACAGGAAGCUGAGUUCCCACCCUUAAAGAUAUAGUAUGACAAAAAGCCCUGGGAGACACGACGUAGAAGGAGCAAUUUGAAAAACACCUAGCACAUGUGGCAGAGAGAGCUAUUUACUCAUCUCAGAGCCUGUCCUAGAGACUAGGGAGCUGGAAGGAUCCAUUUCUCUCCCCUCUCCUCAGUAUGAACACAGGGCCACAUGAUGGGUAACAGGGGACAUGCUGCACUGCAGGACACCAUAGAACCUCUUCUUCAUAAGGCCAUUACUUUCAAGAACAGGAGACACAGCUGACUUCCUAACACAGAGAGACAAAAUGAAGAGACAGAAGAAUGUCCCAAAGGAAAAAUAGGACAAAACCAUAGCAAGAGACCUAAGCAAACAGAUAUAAGCAAUAUGCCUGACAGAAAAUUUAAAGUAAAGAUCAGGGAUCCCUGGGUGGCUCAGCGGUUUGGUGCCUGCCUUUGGCCCAGGGCGCGAUCCUGGAGUCCCGGGAUCAAGUCCCAUGUUAGGCUCCUGUCAUGGAGCCUGCUUCUUCCUCUGCCUGUACCUCUGUCUCUCUCUCUCUAUGUGUAUUGUGAAUAAAUAAAUAAAAUCUUUAAAAAAAAUAAAGAUCAUAAAGAUACUCACUAGACUUGAGGAAAGAGUGGAGGACUCAAUGAGACCCUUAAGAAAGAGAUAAAAAAUAAUCCAUCAGAGAUAAAGAAUGUAAUAAAUGAAAUUGAAACUAUACUAGCUAGAAUAAAUAGCAGACUAGAGGAAGCAGAGGAAUAAAUUAAUAAUCUGGAAGACAGAAUAACAGAAAAUAAUCAAGCUGAGUGCUGAAAGAAAAGAAUUAGGUAAAAAGAGAAUAGACUUAGGGAAUCCAGUGACUACAUCAUUAUACUAGCAUAAUAACAUUUGUAUUUAUAGGGAUAUGGGAAGAAAAACAGAGAACAAAGGGAGCAGAAAAUUUAUUUGAAGAAAUAAUAGUUGAAAACUUCCCAAAAUCU
RNAcentral lists this long non-coding RNA (4952 nucleotides) under Canis lupus familiaris (dog). RNAcentral's name for it is "lncRNA (ENSCAFG00000058271.1)". Lineage: Eukaryota; Metazoa; Chordata; Mammalia; Carnivora; Canidae. The record is from RNAcentral.